GAUGAACGCUGGCGGCGUGCCUAAUACAUGCAAGUCGAACGCUGGAGGUCUAGCUUGCUAGAUCGAAGGAGUGGCGAACGGGUGAGUAAUACAUAAGCAACCUACCCACGAAGACUGGGAUAAUCUCUGGAAACGGGGACUAAUACCGGAUAGGUAAUCGGAAGGCAUCUUCUGGUUAUUAAAGGUUAAAAACACUGGUGGAUGGGCUUAUGGCGCAUUAGUUAGUUGGUGAGGUAACGGCCCACCAAGACGAUGAUGCGUAGCCGGCCUGAGAGGGUGAACGGCCACAGUGGGACUGAGACACGGCCCAGACUCCUACGGGAGGCAGCAGUAGGGAAGUUUCGGCAAUGGGGGCAACCCUGACCGAGCAACGCCGCGUGAGUGAAGACGGCCUUCGGGGUGUAAAGCUCUGUUGUAAGGGAAGAACGGUAGAUAGAGAAUAUCUAAGUGACGGUACCUUACCAGAAAGCCACGGCUAACUACGUG
Molecule: ribosomal RNA, 486 nt
Filed under: uncultured bacterium
Lineage: Bacteria
Description: partial 16S ribosomal RNA
Rfam family: Bacterial small subunit ribosomal RNA
Source: RNAcentral